AGAGUUUGAUCCUGGCUCAGGACGAACGCUGGCGGCGUGCUUAACACAUGCAAGUCGAACGGAAAGGCCCUUCGGGGUACUCGAGUGGCGAACGGGUGAGUAACACGUGGGUGAUCUGCCCUGCACUUUGGGAUAAGCCUGGGAAACUGGGUCUAAUACCGAAUAUGACCAUGCACUUCCUGGUGUGUGGUGGAAAGCUUUUGCGGUGUGGGAUGGGCCCGCGGCCUAUCAGCUUGUUGGUGGGGUAAUGGCCUACCAAGGCGACGACGGGUAGCCGGCCUGAGAGGGUGACCGGCCACACUGGGACUGAGAUACGGCCCAGACUCCUACGGGAGGCAGCAGUGGGGAAUAUUGCACAAUGGGCGCGAGCCUGAUGCAGCGACGCCGCGUGAGGGAUGACGGCCUUCGGGUUGUAAACCUCUUUCAGCACAGACGAAGCGCAAGUGACGGUAUGUGCAGAAGAAGGACCGGCCAACUACGUGCCAGCAGCCGCGGUAAUACGUAGGGUCCGAGCGUUGUCCGGAAUUACUGGGCGUAAAGAGCUCGUAGGUGGUUUGUCGCGUUGUUCGUGAAAACUCACAGCUUAACUGAGGGCGUGCGGGCGAUACGGGCAGACUUGAGUACUGCAGGGGAGACUGGAAUUCCUGGUGUAGCGGUGGAAUGCGCAGAUAUCAGGAGGAACACCGGUGGCGAAGGCGGGUCUCUGGGCAGUAACUGACGCUGAGGAGCGAAAGCGUGGGGAGCGAACAGGAUUAGAUACCCUGGUAGUCCAA
RNAcentral lists this ribosomal RNA (773 nucleotides) under uncultured bacterium. RNAcentral's name for it is "bacterial SSU rRNA". It matches the Rfam family "Bacterial small subunit ribosomal RNA", at positions 8 to 798 of the family's 1533-position model. The record is from RNAcentral.